This 279-nucleotide ribosomal RNA is filed under the name uncultured bacterium. Its description in RNAcentral is "partial 16S ribosomal RNA". It matches the Rfam family "Bacterial small subunit ribosomal RNA", at positions 8 to 283 of the family's 1533-position model. The record is from RNAcentral.
AGAGUUUGAUCCUGGCUCAGAGUGAACGCUGGCGGUAGGCCUAACACAUGCAAGUCGAACGGCAGCACAGGAGAGCUUGCUCUCUGGGUGGCGAGUGGCGGACGGGUGAGGAAUACAUCGGAAUCUACCUUUUCGUGGGGGAUAACGUAGGGAAACUUACGCUAAUACCGCAUACGUCCUAAGGGAGAAAGUGGGGGAUCGCAAGACCUCACGCGGAUAGAUGAGCCGAUGUCGGAUUAGCUAGUUGGCGGGGUAAAGGCCCACCAAGGCGACGAUCCG